CGACAUUUAUUGUUCAUAAGUCGCUAGUAUUGCACUGCGAGUUAUUUAAAAAUUGUAUCGGUCUAUCAAAUACAACACCUAGUUUUACAGAUUUGGUUCUUAUGGGAAAUUUAUUCACAAUUUGUUAUGGUCGAGGAAGAUAACUUUUUUCUUUUUAUUUGGAAUAAAAAACAACAACCAAGCUGUUUAGGUACAUAUGUCUGUUGAAGUGGCAUACAAAGUAUGAAUUGAAUAUACAUAAGUAAAGGUAGGUUUGGGUUAAUGGUAAUUACGUAAUUAGUAAUACUAUAAAGGUUGUUUAGGUUAAUGUUAUUUAGGUAAUUAAAUUAGUAAUAUGUACUAAUGAAGGUUAGUAGGUACAUAUGUAUGUAGGUACAUAUGCAAACAUAUGUAUGUAUAAUGUAAGUUGGAGGCGUACCUAUUAGAUUUUUUAACUAUUUUAGUAUUUUGGCCGAUUCUUUGCUUUAAAACUGUCGAUUGAAGAAAAAAAGAUAUAAUCAUCCAUUUUGGAUCAUGUUACCAUUUACCAGUGCACUGUGCGUACAAAUAUAACAUACAAAUUUCUUCACGCAUUGUUAAAGUUUUUUAUAAACAUUUUAGUUUUACCAAUUAUUUUUCUAUUUUGUUUUUGCUUGUACGUAUUUUUUUGCUUUAGUUUGACGGUUGUUGUUUUGACUUUUAGCAGGUGAAGAUAUUUUUUUCUUAUUAACCCUUUUUGCCUUAUUUUUAUAAUUUUGUGUUGCACCAACCUUGAACACGACAUACAUAAUUAAAUUUAUCGAAGUGUUGUUUUAAUUAAAUGAAAUUAACAAAGGUAUCUAUAGAAGUUUUGAAAGUUAGCCUACUUUCGACAAAAUAUUUAUCUAGCUACCAAAUUGACAAAGACAAACUUCAUGCAACAUGUAUGUAAACAAAUCAUACAAACUGCAGCGCUUGUGACAUCGAGAUAACUUUACAAUAAUUCAAUCAACAUGUAUUUUCUUGAUUAAAGUUCUCGCUACGCGUGUGCUUCUUUAUUCAACCAACGCAUUUUUAAGCAUAGAAAAAAACCCGAUGUUCACCGACUGACGCACUACACUUGAUAUUCAUUUUCAAAGACUAAACAAAAAUUCAACCGUUCUGUAUCGGAAAAAAGACAAAUGUAACCCGUCUCUAAUGGAUUUAACGGACAUUUUCCAUUAUUUUCGGCAGAUGAAGUUUAACUAGCAAGUAAAUUGCGCAGUGGAAUAAUUUUUGGCAGAAAGUUACUGUAAUUUUAGUUAAGUGGCACGAGUAUCC
Molecule: long non-coding RNA, 1278 nt
Organism: Eupeodes corollae
Lineage: Eukaryota; Metazoa; Arthropoda; Insecta; Diptera; Syrphidae
Exons: 3
Source: RefSeq, a predicted model, not a curated record